Molecule: small nuclear RNA, 104 nt
Filed under: Canis lupus dingo (dingo)
Lineage: Eukaryota; Metazoa; Chordata; Mammalia; Carnivora; Canidae
Source: RNAcentral
GUGCUUGCUUCGGCAGCACAUGUACUAAAAUUGGAACAAUACAGAGAAGAUUAGCUUGGUCCCUGUGCAAGGAUGACACACAAAUAUAUUUCUUCGGAAUAUGA